Oncorhynchus keta (chum salmon) is the source of this 778-nucleotide long non-coding RNA. RefSeq lists it as uncharacterized. NCBI's taxonomy places the organism in Eukaryota, Metazoa, Chordata, Actinopteri, Salmoniformes, Salmonidae. The record is from RefSeq and is a predicted model, not a curated record. The transcript has 4 exons.
GGUGUAGGUAGGGUUUAGGUAGUGUGUAGGUAGGGUUUAGGUAGGGUGUAGGUAGGGUUUAGGUAGGUUGUAGGUAGGGUGUAGGUAGGGUUUAGGUAGGGUUUAGGUAGUGUGUAGGUAGGGUUUAGGUAGGGUGUAGGUAGGGUUUAGGUAGGGUGUAGGUAGGGUUUAGGUAGGGUGUAGGUAGGGUGUAGGUAGGGUGUAGGUAGGGUGUAGGUAGGGUUUAGGUAGGGUGUAGGUAGGGUGUAGGUAGGGUUUAGGUAGGGUGUAGGUAGGGUGUAGGUAGGGUGUAGGUAGGGUUUAGGUAGGGUUUAGGUAGGGUGUAGGUAGGGUGUAGGUAGGGUGUAGGUAGGGUUUAGGUAGGGUGUAGGUCGGGUGUAGGUAGGGUUUAGGUAGGGUGUAGGUAGGGUGUAGGUAGGGUUUAGGUAGGGUGUAGGUAGGGUUUAGGUAGGGUGUAGGUAGGGUUUAGGUAGGGUGUAGGUAGGGUGUAGGUAGGGUUUAGGUAGGGUUUAGGUAGGGUGUAGGUAGGGUUUAGGUAGGGUGUAGGUAGGGUUUAGGUAGGGUGUAGGUAGGGUUUAGGUAGGGUGUAGGUAGGGUGUAGGUAGGGUUUAGGUAGGGUGUAGGUAGGGUGUAGGUAGGGUGUAGGUAGGGUUUAGGUAGGGUUUAGGUAGGGUGUAGGUAGGGUUUAGGUAGGGUGUAGGUAGGGUUUAGGUAGGGUGUAGGUAGGGUUUAGGUAGGGUUUAGGUAGGGUGUAGGUAGGGUGUAGGUAGGGUUUAGG